This 497-nucleotide ribosomal RNA is filed under the name uncultured bacterium. Its description in RNAcentral is "partial 16S ribosomal RNA". It matches the Rfam family "Bacterial small subunit ribosomal RNA", at positions 28 to 507 of the family's 1533-position model. The record is from RNAcentral.
GAUGAACGCUGGCGGCGUGCCUAAUACAUGCAAGUCGAGCGAACGGACGAGAAGCUUUCUUCUCUGAUGUUAGCGGCGGACGGGUGAGUAACACGUGGAUAACCUACCUAUAAGACUGGGAUAACUUCGGCAAACCGGAGCUAAUACCGGAUAAUAUUUUGAACCGCAUGGUUCAAAAGUGAAAGACGGUCUUUCUGUCACUUAUAGAUGGAUCCGCGCUGCAUUAGCGAGGUGGUAAGGUAACGGCUUACCAAGGCAACGAUGCAUAGCCGACCUGAGAGGGUGAUCGGCCACACUGGAACUGAGACACGGUCCAGACUCCUACGGGAGGCAGCAGUAGGGAAUCUUCCGCAAUGGGCGAAAGCCUGACGGAGCAACGCCGCGUGAGUGAUGAAGGUCUUCGGAUCGUAAAACUCUGUUAUUAGGGAAGAACAUAUGUGUAAGUAACUGUGCACAUAUUGACGGUACCUAAUCAGAAAGCCACGGCUAACUACGUG